Molecule: non-coding RNA, 47 nt
Organism: Picea glauca (white spruce)
Lineage: Eukaryota; Viridiplantae; Streptophyta; Pinopsida; Pinales; Pinaceae
Source: Rfam
UCAAUGGCCCUCAUCAGGGCCAUAUCACCAAAAAAUAUAUGUAUCAU